AUUAGAACAAAGCUCUCCCCUGCUUUGGGAGUAGCUUUGGGGGCUGUGCUUUCGCACAGGGGAAAAUCCCCUUUCACCCUUUCUUUGACCCCAUCGUCCUCUAGCCCUUCGGGUCUCUGCUUUCUCUCAUCAGGCCACAGCAGCAUUCCUAACCCUGGAUCUUCCAACCUUUCACUGUGGUCCGCAACCUGUGAAUGUUGAUCAUUCAGAAAGCCACCUGAGAGCGUUUCUUGUAGGAAAAUGGUCAGGUCCAACUCUAGCCCACGAACCAUGGCUUGAUCUACCCUAUCUGCAGAAUGGGCCCUCAGGUUUUCAGACGACAGCCAAGAGAAGGCACUGCAAGACGUGGCUCCAUCUACCUUUCCUAUGUAUUCUUCUCCACUUAGUGAAAAAGCCAUUGCACGGAAGAUUUGGAGUUGCCCACUAAGAACAAACACUAAGAGAAGGUUGCCGUUGAGAUACCAUACACCCUCGUCUUCUGCCAGACAAGUCCUACCCAUUUCCAGCCAUGUCUUUGCACUUAGCUCUUCCCUCUUGUCUGAAUGCUCUCUUCUCAAGGGUCCCCAUCAGGAGCCUGCCUGUCAAAUCCCAGGGCAAAGCUUCCUCUAUGAACCCUCCCUUGGCCUCCUCACUGUCUUGGUGAUGUGUCUCUUUUGUGUGCUUCCUAUUGAUUCCUACUGAAGAGAUCCAAGCUCCGACUCAUCUCGCCCUCGCUGCAGCUCAUUUGCAGGAGGACCGUGUCACGGAACCUGGAUAAGCCUUUUGGCUGCCAGAAACACGUUUUCCAUUACUUCUACAGGAAUCUGAGGAAUUUCAUCUCGAGAGCAAGCUGGACAAAGAUGACUUCUGGGACAAUCAUAACCAUGACUUUCUUGGCUCUUGCCUCUCAUGGAACCAUUUUUGCAGCUGUGGGAGCCUGUGUAAGACUUGCAGAAGACCAAGGAAGUCAAUGGUCCAGCAUGGAGUGGGAGGGGCUCAGAUGAUGACCAGUGACUCUGCAUGGGAGCUACUGAUGGCUGCUAGAGAGUGGUGAUGCUGGAGGGUGUUCUCUGGUAAGUCAAUCACUCAUUGGGUUUCCCACCCCACAUGUGUGUAUGGGCCACAUUAAUUAAACUCAGUGGGUUACUG
Molecule: long non-coding RNA, 1128 nt
Filed under: Mus pahari (shrew mouse)
Lineage: Eukaryota; Metazoa; Chordata; Mammalia; Rodentia; Muridae
Description: RIKEN cDNA 4930456L15 gene (MGP_PahariEiJ_G0006210.1)
Source: RNAcentral